GAUGAACGCUGGCGGCGUGCCUAAUACAUGCAAGUCGAGCGAACAGACGAGGAGCUUGCUCCUCUGACGUUAGCGGCGGACGGGUGAGUAACACGUGGAUAACCUACCUAUAAGACUGGGAUAACUUCGGGAAACCGGAGCUAAUACCGGAUAAUAUAUUGAACCGCGUGGUUCAAUAGUGAAAGACGGUUUUGCUGUCACUUAUAGAUGGAUCCGCGCCGCAUUAGCUAGUUGGUAAGGUAACGGCUUACCAAGGCGACGAUGCGUAGCCGACCUGAGAGGGUGAUCGCCCACACUGGAACUGAGACACGGUCCAGACUCCUACGGGAGGCAGCAGUAGGGAAUCUUCCGCAAUGGGCGAAAGCCUGACGGAGCAACGCCGCGUGAGUGAUGAAGGUCUUCGGAUCGUAAAACUCUGUUAUUAGGGAAGAACAAAUGUGUAAGUAACUAUGCACGUCUUGACGGUACCUAAUCAGAAAGCCACGGCUAACUACGUG
This 497-nucleotide ribosomal RNA is filed under the name uncultured bacterium. RNAcentral describes it as "partial 16S ribosomal RNA". It matches the Rfam family "Bacterial small subunit ribosomal RNA", at positions 28 to 507 of the family's 1533-position model. The record is from RNAcentral.